Ficedula albicollis (Collared flycatcher) is the source of this 62-nucleotide non-coding RNA. Lineage: Eukaryota; Metazoa; Chordata; Aves; Passeriformes; Muscicapidae. The record is from Rfam.
AUCUUUGGUUAUCUAGCUGUAUGAGUGCUGUCGAUUCUUCAUAAAGCUAGAUAACCGAAAGU